This is a long non-coding RNA of Monodelphis domestica (gray short-tailed opossum), 2445 nucleotides long. NCBI's taxonomy places the organism in Eukaryota, Metazoa, Chordata, Mammalia, Didelphimorphia, Didelphidae. The record is from Ensembl.
AACCUGAUUAUCAUUUCUUGCUAUGCAGUAAUAUUCCAUCAUAAUCAUUAGAUGCCACAUCUUGUUUAGCCAUGACCCAACUGAUGGACAUCCCCUCAGUUUUGAGUUCUUUACCACCACAAAGAGAGACGCUCUAAAUAUUUUGUAAUAUAUAGGUUCACUGCCUUUUUACCUAAUCCCCUUAGGAAACAUUCUUGUUGGUGGUAUUGCUGGGUCUAAGAGUAAACAUAGUUUUAUAAUUCUCUGGGCAGAAUUCCAAAUUGCUCUCCAGAAUGGUUAGAUCAAGUCACAGUUCUACCAACAUGGUAUUAGUGUCACCAUUUUUUCCACAUUCUCUCCAACAUUGAUCAUUUUGCACUUUUAUCAUUUCAGCCAAUCUGAUGGGUAUCAAUUGUUAUCGUAGAAUUGUUUUUAUUUACAUUUCCCUAAUCCAUAAUGAUUUAGAGCAUUUUUUUCUUAUGCCCAUGUAUGGUUUUGAUUUCUUCAUUCACAAAUGUUAUAUCACCAUUUCUCAGUGGGGAAUGACUCAUAUUUCUAUAAAUCUGAUAAAACUCUGUAUUUGAGUUAUGAGACCUAUCUGAGAGGCCACCUAAACAGGUUUCCCAAAUUCUCUACUCUCAGUUCUAUUGCAUUCUGAACCUUCACAGUCACUACUGAGCUUGUAGCACUUCUCCAGUCUUUGAGGUAAGAAUCAACUCUUCCUGUCAUCCUGCAACACUCAUUAAGUAGACAACCUUUUGUUUCAGGGUCCUGUGAAGUUUGAGGAUAUGGCAAUAUACCUCUGGAAGGAGGAAUGGGAACUAAUGGACUCCACUCAGAAGAGACUGUACAGGCAGGUGAUGCUGGAGACUUACGAGAAUGUCCUCUCAGUGGAGAGAUGGCUUUGGAGUCAAGGAGAUCUGGGAUCAAGGUCUACCUCUAACAUUUGGCAGCCUUGCAACUAUGGGCACAUCCCUCAAUCCCUGGCAACUGUAAGGUAUGCAUGUUUUAUUAUUAAGCCCUUAUUAAGAAUCUACUCUGUGUCAAGCACUAGGAGAGAAUAUGAAGCUGAAAACUCCAAACAGGGACUGCCCUCAGAGAAUUUCUUUUCUAUUAGAGGAAGAGAGGGAGAGAGCAUGUGCACAAAAAAGGUCUGAAGAAGAAAGAGGACCCUAGAUGGGAGAGAAUGCAAUCAUCAGAGAGGAUCAAGGAUGUAAGAUAUGAAGGAAUCUAUACUCUGAGAGGUAGAAUGAGAUGGAAGGCAGCCCAAACAUGGUGCAAAUGCAUGGAAGGAGGAAAUAGAAUAUUGAGUUGAGCAGUCUGACUUGAAUAUAGAGGGGGAAAGGGGGAAAAAUAUAAGGAUGGACAGGUGAGUAGGAAUCAAUAUGCAGAGGACCUCAAGGCCCUUAUAUAUUUCCUGAAUGCUUCCCAAAGAUCCACCUUGAGUUCUACUUUCUCUUAAGCUUUUGAUGACUACUAAAGUACAUCCACUGAUUAUUCCCAUUUCAUAACUCUUGUAGCACUGAUUGUAAUGAUUGAAGCCAUGUUUUUGUAUUACCUUAAAUUCUUUGAGAUCAAUGUAGUUAUCUUGGUUAUUAUUUUAUCUCCUAACAGUAAUAUCUCUUUUCUGAAAGUCCUCAUUUGGGUAAAAUGAGAAGGCAAGAUUGGAAGCACUGAGACUCUGUAACCUCCUAGGUCAAUCAUGGAAUUGUUUUUAUCGGACAGUCAGCUUGCUGUGUUCCUAUAUGUUCUCUCAGCACAUAACAGGGAUUCCAGGAAUUAAUGCCCUUGUCCCAUCACAGCCAUUUCUGGGACCGUACCAGGAAAGGGGCAGGGUCCAGGAUAGCCCUGGGCUCACUACUUACAGGAGAGGUGGUUCCUUUUUCCAAACAGUAGGACAACUGACCCUAAAGAGAACUAGGUGGAGAAUAAGAAGGGAGGGAGUGGGAAGGGGAGUAAAAUAGGAGUGAGGGAAAGGGAGACUGAUUAAAAGCAAAACACUGGUGUGGAGGGAAAUAAUGAUAGGAGAAAGGGCAGGAUUAAAAGGGGGAAAAUGAUUGGGAAUACACAAAUAGUAAUCAUAACUCUGAAUGUGAAUUUGAUGAAAUCACCCAUGAAACAGAAGCAGAUUAAAAAAUCCAACCACAUGUUGUUUACAAGAAACAUACAUGAGGCAAGUAGACAGCAUAAAAGUAAGAGGCUGGAGCAGAAUCUUUUAGGUAUCAAUUGAGAAAAAGAAGACAGGAAUGGCAAUCAUGAUCUCUGACAAAACUAAAGCAAAAAUGGAUCUGAUUAAAAGAGAUAAGGAUGGCAAUUACAUCCUGAUAAAAGGCAGUAUAGACAAUGAAGAAAUAUCAGUAUUCAGCAUCUAUGCACCAAAUGGUAUAGCAUCCAGAUUUUUAAAGGAGAAACUACUGGAGCUUAAGGAGGAAAUAAAUAGUAAAACUGUACUAGUGGGAGAUUUCA